This 252-nucleotide ribosomal RNA is filed under the name uncultured bacterium. RNAcentral's name for it is "partial 16S ribosomal RNA". It matches the Rfam family "Bacterial small subunit ribosomal RNA", at positions 524 to 776 of the family's 1533-position model. The record is from RNAcentral.
UACGUAGGUCCCGAGCGUUAUCCGGAUUUAUUGGGCGUAAAGCGUGCGCAGGCGGUUAGAUAAGUCUGAAGUGAAAGGCAGUGGCUUAACCAUAGUCUGCUUUGGAAACUGUUUAACUUGAGUGCAGAAGGGGAGAGUGGGAUUCCAUGUGUAGCGGUGAAAUGCGUAGAUAUAUGGAGGAACACCGGUGGCGAAAGCGGCUCUCUGGGCUGUAACUGACGCUGAGGCUCGAAAGCGUGGGGAGCAAACAGG